CUACGGAGGGUGCAAGCGUUAUUCGGAAUCACUGGGCGUAAAGGACGCGUAGGCGGGUUGGCAAGUCAGAUGUGAAAUCCUACAGCUUAACUGUAGAACUGCAUUUGAAACUGCUAACCUAGAGUAUGGGAGGGGGAGAUGGAAUUAGUGGUGUAGGGGUAAAAUCCGUAGAUAUCACUAGGAAUACCGAAAGCGAAGGCGAUCUCCUGGAACAUAACUGACGCUAAGGCGUGAAAGCGCGGGGAGCAAACAGGAUUAGAUACCCUAGUAGUCC
This 274-nucleotide ribosomal RNA is filed under the name uncultured bacterium. RNAcentral's name for it is "partial 16S ribosomal RNA". It matches the Rfam family "Bacterial small subunit ribosomal RNA", at positions 523 to 796 of the family's 1533-position model. The record is from RNAcentral.